UCCUACGGGAGGCAGCAGUGGGGAAUAUUGGACAAUGGGGGGAACCCUGAUCCAGCCAUGCCGCGUGUGUGAAGAAGGCCUUUUGGUUGUAAAGCACUUUAAGCGAGGAGGAGGCUACCGAGAUUAAUACUCUUGGAUAGUGGACGUUACUCGCAGAAUAAGCACCGGCUAACUCUGUGCCAGCAGCCGCGGUAAUACAGAGGGUGCAAGCGUUAAUCGGAUUUACUGGGCGUAAAGCGUGCGUAGGUGGCCAAUUAAGUCAAAUGUGAAAUCCCCGAGCUUAACUUGGGAAUUGCAUUCGAUACUGGUUGGCUAGAGUAUGGGAGAGGAUGGUAGAAUUCCAGGUGUAGCGGUGAAAUGCGUAGAGAUCUGGAGGAAUACCGAUGGCGAAGGCAGCCAUCUGGCCUAAUACUGACACUGAGGCACGAAAGCAUGGGGAGCAAACAGGAUUAGAUACCCUGGUAGUCC
Molecule: ribosomal RNA, 468 nt
Filed under: uncultured bacterium
Lineage: Bacteria
Description: bacterial SSU rRNA
Rfam family: Bacterial small subunit ribosomal RNA
Source: RNAcentral